ACGCAGAGAGAGCGAGCGAGCGAGCGAGAGACAGAGAGAGUGUCCGCUGGAAUCGGAGCAAUUCCCAAGUCCUUAAAAAAACUCACGGAAUGAGUCGAUCAGAUGUGAAGGCGUGGGACGCUGCUGCGAGAUGACCAGAAGAUGGCAGUGCUGAGUGUCACCGAGAAUGCGUGCCGACAUAUCUCCUCGUGCUGCGAUUAAUUACCACGUGAAGCCACCCAGUCAAGGCCAUCACGAUCGCUCUCCUCGGGUGACUCCCAUCGCCUGCGGAUCCCGUGACGUGCCUCCCACGGUGUCUGGUCUGCGCUGGAAGCACCGUGUUUGCUUUUUUUUUAAUAUAUUAGCCUUUAGGAACACACUCCCACCGCCUACGUAUGUGACUCACUUCAGUGUCAUUUGUACAAUCUGACCUUAAAUAAUUCAACGUGUGUUUUAUUUUUCAACCUUGGCUAAUUAAUAGCAAUGCUACCCGUGGGUGUCAUUGUGAGCCCACUCGACUUGCAGUUCGGGUCGCCGGUUCGAGUUUCCCGGCACGGCAGUGGAAACGUCGGGGCCGGUUUCUUAAAUCCCCCCCCAUGUAGAGCAGCGACGCGAUUCCACGAGCCAGGGCAGAGUUCGCACUCAGCGCUGGGUCUAUCAGCCUGCGUAGUAUAGCGUCAUGACGUUACCACCAACACAGUACCGGUAUCAGAUCUUGCUACGAAGCAAUCCCUGCUACCUGAACACAAGUACCAACAGCGUGAAUGGGGUACACGGUGGUUCAUCAGCAAGUCGCCUGUGCUUGGAUAGGGCAUGGAUACUCCCACCUCUACCAAGACGUCUGGUCAGCGUGGAAGGGUCGGCAAAUACCUUCUAGAGGGGAUCUCUAGAGCUCUCUCUAGUGGAGGCCCUACCCCGAGCAGUAGUGUCAGUAAGACAUUGCAGGGGUGUACCUUUAUCUAGAGGCACUAAUUAAUUGGCAUGUAGGGAAUUCAUUGAGAGAAAGGAGGAGGAACACGUGGACCAGAGACUAUUCCCAGUUUAAUGACAUCGUUCAAACUGUUUGUGAAAAAUAAGUGGGCUUUGGCAGGACACGAUAUUAGAAGGGAUGGUGGGAGGAUCAAGACUAAUGACAGCGAGAGCCAAGGCAUGUUACGUUUCCAAGCAGACGUCCUCUGGGGAAGAUGUAUUGAUGAAAUAAACGUGCGUGCAGGUGCAAGGUGGAGUGGUCGCGAGCGAUGGUGGCAGUGCGCCAAAGCCUUCGUCCAGCAGUGAAUGGACCAUGGUUGAUGAUAACGCUGGGCAGUGGUGGCUAUGCCUGUAACCUAGCAAUGUGGCGGCGAGGGUUGAUGGAUCACACACGUGUUGCGAAACUCCCCUUACCAUAGGUGGCAUACCCUAGCUUGUCAGGAGAAGGCAGUCCAGCAAUUGUGGACUCCGUCUCUUCCAUUUCUGUGAGAUGCAGUGUUGCACCCUCGAACGUAUGGGGUUUCUUUAGGCACUUCCGGUUUCCUCUCACAUGCAAACUCAUGAAUUUGCUGAUAAUAUCUGAAUAAUUAGAGGACUCCAGAGCUUGGACAGUUGUUGGUGGCUCGCAGCCUUGACUGCCUUCCUGCUUCUCUGCGCCUCCUCGAGCCUCUGCGUCUUUCUCCCUCCUUAAGCAUUUACAUUUGUAUUAUUAUUAUUAUUGCAUGUCAAGGCUCUAGUGGCUGCAGGGUAAACAUGAACUAAUAAAAUACAACAUGUAUGAAUCAAAUAUAAUGGAUUUUUUUAGUCACAUUUUGAUGCAUGCAUAGCGAGUGUCAUCGUUAAUUUUUUUUAAAAAUGAAAAUCAAUUAAUUAUCCAAUGCUUAGCUGCCUGCUAAUUUAGCUCUGAGCAAACGUGCUCAUGCUUUUUGUAGAAAUACCACGUGACAAAAAAUGUGAACACGCAAGCCUACGUUUGUAAAUGUGUUGAUGUGUACAAUAUGCAAAUGUAUGAAAUAUAUAUAUGAAUCAUUAAUAGGAUAAAUCCCAUAGAGUUGUUUUUACAAACAUAUAAGUAUUCCUCACUUCAUGCAAUUUGGUUUCCCUUGUAUGCGGCUAACAUAUUUCUUCCCAAAAUUCGCCCUGUGUGGUUGGAACUCACUCAUAUACGGCUAUGUGGUCAGACGUGGGAAAACAUUGCAUGUGCUGUAUGCACUACUUGGGAGGUAGCUGUCUCAUGCAGCUUUGCUUUACACACCGUCUUUUGGAAUACAUCUACCGCACAAAGCGAGCAAAUCUUAUAUAUGCGACGACGGCAGUGUGUUUAUUUCCAUGGCGUGAGAAUUCACAAGUUGACGGUUAUUGCUUUUCAUCUGAAUUUUGGUCUAAAUGUGGCCAAUGUCUCAAUCACAGACCCUACCCAUUUAAACGAUAGGCUGGCAGUUUUUCAACCCUUUUACCACCUACCAAUUUACAAGGCGAGAAUUACAUCAAAGGCAAUUGUUUUAGUCUUCAAAACCCUUGUAAAGGAAAUCGCCAAUGUGAUGUGUUUUUGCCAUUCCAUAAAGAUGCAAAUCUGACCUGAAGUGUCUAGGAGCGAAUUGCUGUGAAAGGUUCUGCAUACUGCACACAGCUGUAACCAGAUGAUGCAUGCUUGGGAUUACAUUGAGAGACGGAGAGAGGUAACACAAGGAUUAUAGAAAAUACUCACGUCCUACGCUGAGACAUCUUACUAACCAGGGCUUCAUUUGAGCCAGGUCUGGUUCAUCAACCGAGAAAAUAUUUCUGCACCCAGCACGCCACAUAGAGCAUGUAUCUUGCCAUGGCUAUGGCUACUUAGCUCAUGCAUACUCCCAUCUACCAGCUACCCAGGAAAAUAUCCAGUGAGAUAUAACUCAGAUGUUUUAUUGCUUCCAGUAUUUAUAUUUCAGCUUCGGCAUUUGCACGCGACUGAUAAGUAUUCCACAAAUGUUAGCAAAUAUCCCCGCGGCUCCCCCUGUAGACGUGCCCUUUCGCUUCCUAGUCCCCUCCUCAUCAAGACUCGUUUGGCGGCUGCGGGGAGGCAGAGCGGAGGGCGAAUUACCAUCAAACACGAGUCGUGUGUGCAACAACAGCAAAUGGCCCUAAUGAAAUGAAUAUAUUAAAGGGUGGUUUAAAAAAAAAUCAAAGGGGUCGCGCCAAAUUAACUCGGCGAGCCACUAUGCACAUCGUACAAUAUAUGCAUUUAUGUACUGAAGAGCGUUUCCAAAUUAAAUGAAGUGUAAUUAAAAGUUUAAUGGCAGAUAUAAAUCUGCCUGCUAACUUAUAGCCCGUAAGAGAGAAGAUGGGCCAUUACAACCGCAGAAGGCAGACUGUAAUUAUUACCUGUACACUUUUAUUCCAAUGAAGUAUCUUCAACCUUUAUGUUAAUCGUCCCCGUGUCAAAUAAACCAUUGCAAAUGUGUGCAUGCAUACGCCGUGUGCACUUCGCGUCCUAUUUGUCAAUCCACUGCUGGAUGAGGGCCUCGCCACGCGGCGCGGUACGUGUCAGUCUAUUGACCGUACUUCACCACACCGCUCAGUCGCUGGGCGGUCAACGUUAGGGCCCAACAUGCCUCUAAUGUAAUUUGUGAUUGAUGUUAGCAAUGGCCUGGAAUUAAACUUAGAUUUGCUGGGUUUAGCACUGAUUUGAUUCGCGGGGCACGGAGCACAGUACGGUAAAAUCAUGAAUGUCAAUGCACUGCCCUCAACUGUCCAGCCUCGAGCCUGCUUAGCUUCCGAGGCGGUGGUGGCGCAUGCCUGUCAUCCAGCCCUGUGGAGGCAGCGAGGGUUGGUAGAUCACAAUACAGACGUUGUGGAAACUCCUUUCCCGUAGGCGUCGAGGAGGUAACAUACACUGGCUUGCCAGGAGAAUGCGGUACCGCAAAUGUGGACAUCAUCUGUUCCAUCUCGACGUGAUCGAAUCUUGCCCCCAUCGCAUGCGUGGGUUUUUCUCCAGGCGUCCUGGUUUUCCUCCCGCAUGUAAACACUCGUGAAGUGACCAUCAACACCUGAAUCUGUAGAGGACCGCGGAGUUUGUGGGAGAAUGUGUUGCUGGCUCAGUGCAUGGCUGCCUUUCCCACUGUCCGUAGUUCCUCGUUCCGCUUUGGUCGUUGUCUCUUCCAGAGUGGGUGAAUCCUGUGUCCGUUACAAGUUAAAAUUAUUGUUAUUAUUACAAGAUCGGAUGCAAUCCCGGUUGAUUUGUCAAUGCAGCGGUCAUUGUGAAUGUACCUGCAGCGGUCAUUUUAGCGGUUGAUUAAAAAAAGCCAUUUGCUCUCUGCAGGUGAAUGGAUAAGACAGACUGCUGUCGGGAGUGAAUAUACGGACUGCACACCGCCUGUUAAACCACGACGGCGCCAGUCUUUGGAUAUUCCUUGCGCGACUGCGCUUAUCGGUGACAAUGCGAACAUCUGGUAACAUCAUCCGGAGCCAUCACAGCUCACAAAGGAAGGCCGUUGCUAAGUCCCACGGGCUUAGGCUUUCGAGCCAAAUGAUGUGCACGCUUUAGGUUCAUUAAGGAGUUGGUGGGGUUUGUGGAACGGCAGUUUCCUCCGAGGAAAGCCCAAUAAUGUGUUCCUGUAAUGUUUCCAGGGGGUUUGCCCAUGCAGUUAUUGAGCAUUAGGCACACGCGUGCCUGUUAAUAUUUAAAGCACCAAUACGGACCGAGUUUAUAAGCACCGCGCGUGCCCUUUUCCCUGCACACAUCUGGGCGUGUGUUUAUAACGGGGACAUUUAGAACCCAGUCGACAGAUGUUAAACUACACAUCCUUUUGCCGCAUUGAUUUUCGAAAAGCUUGCGAUCGUUGCAUAUAGUGUUGCUUAACACAAACAACUUUACAUAAUUGUGCAAUUGAACUGCGGUGUAAAAAUCCAUAUUUUACAUAAUUGGUGUAAUUAAAAUGCAACGACGGGAUCGGUGGCACAGCGGUUAGUGCACCGUGUUCUGAACCCGGCGACCUCACGACUCCCAAAUUGUAACCAGUGCUGGACCACCCCCUCCUGCAUCACCACCCCUUGCACCAACCCACAGAGGCCAGCGUGGUGAAGUAUGGUCACAAUCUCACGACUGACAAAGCACGGGGAUUGUCUCCAUCUGAUAGUGGAUUGACAGUGGCUGUCAUUAUUAUUUAUUAUGAUAUCAAUACAAUGCCAAUUAUUGAACGUAUAUUGUGCUCUGUAAAUGUUCUAGCAAAGUGCUCAUACAGCGUGUGGAUUUGCGCACAUGUAUAUGCACUCGAAUGUAUGCGUGUACUUCCUAUAACCUUUAACUAGAGGGUAUGUACCGUUGCCCAUUCAAGGGUUGUUACGCAUCUGCCCUGGUUCUGUUUCUCUCUGUUUGCGUUGUUGAAAAUAUAAAUAAAGGAAGGUAAAAAACAGGGGGUCGAUGUUUUAUCCUCUCAUUGUAAAAUGUGUUUCUAUGGCGCUUUGUUUACCGCUCGCCGCGUCAGCGCAGCGCACGGUCAAGCGACGAAAUAACGAACGAGAAUUUAAACUAACGCCAGAGAGGAAGAGAAAUGCAUUUCCGUCAACAUUGACGCCGGUAUCAGGAGCCCAUGAAAGCCUUCUGGUCCAAACUUUGUCUCUCGUACAUUUGAUAUACCAAUUGGCAUUGGAAUAGGGCCUUAUCUGCCCAGCCCAGCAGCACGGUCCCAUGGGGGUGGAGAGCGGUCUAUUACUGUUUCAAAUCGAAUCCCACCAUAGAAAGGUCCAGUCGCGAGCCCUCUGCUAUAGUUCCGCAGGCAGCUCGCUCGCUCGACCGCCCAAUCCAUGCUGGGGUUACGUCAGAACCAAGGCGCCCCCCCCCCUACUCCCCCCCCCCCCUGCACAGCGCCUCACUGUUGGCCACGAUCCGGCGACGCCAAAUGAGUGAAGCCACAUCAAGAGGUGGCAGGGGGGGGGGCUGGAUGAGGAGAAUCUGUUCCUCUAGCUUGUAACCCCCUCUCGUGCAUGAAUUAUUGCAAGAGAAAGAUAAUUUAAAGAAACGUGAUUUUACAAGUCAGUGGACACCCCCCCCCCCCCCCGC
Molecule: long non-coding RNA, 5986 nt
Organism: Petromyzon marinus (sea lamprey)
Lineage: Eukaryota; Metazoa; Chordata; Hyperoartia; Petromyzontiformes; Petromyzontidae
Source: RefSeq, a predicted model, not a curated record